This 351-nucleotide long non-coding RNA is filed under the name Homo sapiens (human). RNAcentral's name for it is "HSALNT0345674". The record is from RNAcentral. Lineage: Eukaryota; Metazoa; Chordata; Mammalia; Primates; Hominidae.
CUGGAUCUUUCAGGAUGCUUCAUGCUGAGAAGGGCGUUGUGGGCAGCUCCAUGCCAUGGGUGACCUCGUGGCCAGCCAGGAAUCACAGGAGCUGAGGCACAGCCAUCAUUAACCCCAAAGUCCAUGAACUUGUGAAGAGUCUGGAGGGGCUGCUCAGGCAGAGGUGACAAGUACCAUAAGUGGCAGAGACAUUAGUGGACAUAGAGGGGAAAGUCCACACAGACAGAAUCCCAGACAAAUAGGCACACACACCCUUAAAGCUGCCAGUUGACCCUGAACUGAGCAAUCACUCAGAAGACCAGACAUCAACUCAGACUUGUUCUCUCAGUCUGUGGCCUGGGAUCUACUUCU